UAGGGAAUCUUCCGCAAUGGACGCAAGUCUGACGGAGCAACGCCGCGUGAGUGAAGAAGGAUUUCGGUUCGUAAAACUCUGUUGUUAGAGAAGAACAGCGCAUAGAGUAACUGUUAUGCGUGUGACGGUAUCUAACCAGAAAGCCACGGCUAACUACGUGCCAGCAGCCGCGGUAAUACGUAGGUGGCAAGCGUUGUCCGGAUUUAUUGGGCGUAAAGCGAGCGCAGGCGGUCAAUUAAGUCUGAUGUGAAAGCCCCCGGCUCAACCGGGGAGGGUCAUUGGAAACUGGUUGACUUGAGUGCAGAAGAGGGGAGUGGAAUUCCAUGUGUAGCGGUGAAAUGCGUAGAUAUAUGGAGGAACACCAGUGGCGAAGGCGAGUCUCUGGUCUGUAACUGACGCUGAGGCUCGAAAGCGUGGGUAGCAAACAGG
This 429-nucleotide ribosomal RNA is filed under the name Bacteroidota bacterium. RNAcentral describes it as "Bacteroidetes bacterium partial 16S ribosomal RNA". It matches the Rfam family "Bacterial small subunit ribosomal RNA", at positions 355 to 776 of the family's 1533-position model. Lineage: Bacteria; Pseudomonadati; Bacteroidota. The record is from RNAcentral.